RNAcentral lists this long non-coding RNA (1452 nucleotides) under Chrysemys picta bellii (western painted turtle). RNAcentral's name for it is "lncRNA (ENSCPBG00000013277.1)". Lineage: Eukaryota; Metazoa; Chordata; Testudines; Emydidae. The record is from RNAcentral.
UCCCACAACAAGCCAGCCGUAGUGGACCACAGUGAUGGACCAGCAGCUUUUGCCACCACUGAGGACACUGCCUCCGACCAGUGGACCAGCUUACCUCUUUCAAACAUCAGACUUAAAUUGACUCGGCAAAAAUAAAAGGACCUUUUAUUCUGACAACUGUAUGUUUUUUAUUAUGCCUUUUUAGUCUAUUUUCUGCUUAUGAAGAUAAUGCUUUUAUUAGAUAUUCCCACGAGGUUAAAACUCGUAUUUUAGGAAAUAGAAGUAAUUGCUGGGUAUGUACUCAAUUUCCAGUAAAUGCAGAACAGGAACUCCCCUUCACACCCAUUCCCCUGACCACUGCUAAUAUGACUUGGAUGCCACCGGCUAGAGUAAAAGAUCCAGUCCAACACAAUCUUACAUGGGACAAAACAGGAGUGCCAAUUAACAGAUAUCUCAGGGUAACCAAUCAGACAGGAUCACUGUGUUUUGUUAAAGAAAAGGAGUCAACUUUUGUGGGAACAAGUAAAUGUAACAUGUAUUUUAAUGGCACCGCCUUUAGUAAAAAUCUUGGCUUCAAGCCUUGCACAUCCCACUUAUCCCAUAUGUGGAUCCCUCACCCCGAUCCAACUUUUUCAUGGGUGGGCAGGCCUUCAGAGUCAGCUUUUAAGAAGCCCUGCUCAAAUCACAAGGGUGUCCAACUAAUUGCUAAGGGACAUACAAUUGCCUUCUACAACUGCUCAAGCUGUACUACACUGCCCUUUGAAAACACCACUACCAAAUUGUGCCUCUGCAGUUCGCACAACGACCCCUCUGCGUUACCAGGGAAACAGUGGUCCAACGGGUGGUGGGUUACCUCCUACUUUAAGAAAUGGAAUACCGGAAACGCAUUGUAUGAAACAUACUGGGUGUGCGGGCCCAAAGCUUAUUACUUUCUCUCCCCUGAUUGGGCAGGGUCAUGUUAUUUAGCGUGGCUAACACCGCCUUCUCGCAUCUCCCUCACUCCCCCUCAUUUUCCCCAUGUUCGUAACAUCCGUAAAACCUUCAGAGAUAUUAAUAUCCGUGUUGGUUUGUCGUGGCAGCGGUGGGCUGGUCUCAUUAGCUUAAGGGGUGGUGUCAUCCAUCUACAGGGACUACUAGAAUCUUUAACCAAUAAAACUGCGACCCUAUUUGAGAAUCAGGCCGGGGAAAUGUCCCAGCUGCGCCAGUUAGCUUUGCAAAACCAAAUGGCUUUAGACAUAAUGAGCCACCUUAUGAUUGGUGGGGAGCCUUAUGGAAUUGGCUGCCUGGAUUUGGGUGGGUUAAAAAACUCUUGGUGGGUAUUGUUGGGGCCAUAGUAAUCCUUAUAAUACUGUGUUGCUGUAUUCAGUGUGUCCCCUCCCUCAUAGACUCAUGUGGGUCAGUUUAUUCUUUUCCUAUUUCAGCCAAGGGCCUUACUCUCUUCGAGUUGGCCGAGGCUGAAAUUGCCAAGCGGCC